UACGUAGGGUGCGAGCGUUAAUCGGAAUGACUGGGCGUAAAGGGUGCGCAGGCGGUUCUAUAAGACAGAUGUGAAAUCCCCGGGCUCAACCUGGGAACUGCAUUUGUGACUGUAGAGCUGGAGUGCGGCAGAGGGGGAUGGAAUUCCGCGUGUAGCAGUGAAAUGCGUAGAUAUGCGGAGGAACACCGAUGGCGAAGGCAAUCCCCUGGGCCUGCACUGACGCUCAUGCACGAAAGCGUGGGGAGCAAACAGG
This 253-nucleotide ribosomal RNA is filed under the name uncultured bacterium. RNAcentral describes it as "partial 16S ribosomal RNA". It matches the Rfam family "Bacterial small subunit ribosomal RNA", at positions 524 to 776 of the family's 1533-position model. The record is from RNAcentral.